This 590-nucleotide ribosomal RNA is filed under the name uncultured bacterium. RNAcentral's name for it is "bacterial SSU rRNA". It matches the Rfam family "Bacterial small subunit ribosomal RNA", at positions 337 to 917 of the family's 1533-position model. The record is from RNAcentral.
UCCUACGGGAGGCAGCAGUGGGGAAUAUUGCACAAUGGGGGAAACCCUGAUGCAGCAACGCCGCGUGAGUGAUGAAGGCUUUCGGGUCGUAAAACUCUGUUGUUAGGGAAGAACAAGUGCUAGUUGAAUAAGCUGGCACCUUGACGGUACCUAACCAGAAAGCCACGGCUAACUACGUGCCAGCAGCCGCGGUAAUACGUAGGUGGCAAGCGUUAUCCGGAAUUAUUGGGCGUAAAGCGCGCGCAGGUGGUUUCUUAAGUCUGAUGUGAAAGCCCACGGCUCAACCGUGGAGGGUCAUUGGAAACUGGGAGACUUGAGUGCAGAAGAGGAAAGUGGAAUUCCAUGUGUAGCGGUGAAAUGCGUAGAGAUAUGGAGGAACACCAGUGGCGAAGGCGACUUUCUGGUCUGUAACUGACACUGAGGCGCGAAAGCGUGGGGAGCAAACAGGAUUAGAUACCCUGGUAGUCCACGCCGUAAACGAUGAGUGCUAAGUGUUAGAGGGUUUCCGCCCUUUAGUGCUGAAGUUAACGCAUUAAGCACUCCGCCUGGGGAGUACGGCCGCAAGGCUGAAACUCAAAGGAAUUGACGGA